The sequence is a ribosomal RNA, 757 nucleotides long. It matches the Rfam family "Bacterial small subunit ribosomal RNA", at positions 675 to 1428 of the family's 1533-position model.
GUAGCGGUGGAAUGCGCAGAUAUCAGGAGGAACACCGAUGGCGAAGGCAGGUCUCUGGGCUGUAACUGACGCUGAGGAGCGAAAGCAUGGGGAGCGAACAGGAUUAGAUACCCUGGUAGUCCAUGCCGUAAACGUUGGGCACUAGGUGUGGGGACCAUUCCACGGUUUCCGCGCCGCAGCUAACGCAUUAAGUGCCCCGCCUGGGGAGUACGGCCGCAAGGCUAAAACUCAAAGGAAUUGACGGGGGCCCGCACAAGCGGCGGAGCAUGCGGAUUAAUUCGAUGCAACGCGAAGAACCUUACCAAGGCUUGACAUGUUCUCGAUCGCCGUAGAGAUACGGUUUCCCCUUUGGGGCGGGUUCACAGGUGGUGCAUGGUUGUCGUCAGCUCGUGUCGUGAGAUGUUGGGUUAAGUCCCGCAACGAGCGCAACCCUCGUUCCAUGUUGCCAGCACGUAGUGGUGGGGACUCAUGGGAGACUGCCGGGGUCAACUCGGAGGAAGGUGAGGAGGACGUCAAAUCAUCAUGCCCCUUAUGUCUUGGGCUUCACGCAUGCUACAAUGGCCGGUACAAUGGGUUGCGAUACUGUGAGGUGGAGCUAAUCCCAAAAAGCCGGUCUCAGUUCGGAUUGGGGUCUGCAACUCGACCCCAUGAAGUCGGAGUCGCUAGUAAUCGCAGAUCAGCAACGCUGCGGUGAAUACGUUCCCGGGCCUUGUACACACCGCCCGUCAAGUCACGAAAGUCGGUAACACCCGAAGCC